RNAcentral lists this ribosomal RNA (410 nucleotides) under Enterobacter cloacae. Its description in RNAcentral is "partial 23S ribosomal RNA". It matches the Rfam family "Bacterial large subunit ribosomal RNA", at positions 2414 to 2823 of the family's 2925-position model. The record is from RNAcentral. Lineage: Bacteria; Pseudomonadati; Pseudomonadota; Gammaproteobacteria; Enterobacterales; Enterobacteriaceae.
AGUGAUCCGGUGGUUCUGAAUGGAAGGGCCAUCGCUCAACGGAUAAAAGGUACUCCGGGGAUAACAGGCUGAUACCGCCCAAGAGUUCAUAUCGACGGCGGUGUUUGGCACCUCGAUGUCGGCUCAUCACAUCCUGGGGCUGAAGUAGGUCCCAAGGGUAUGGCUGUUCGCCAUUUAAAGUGGUACGCGAGCUGGGUUUAGAACGUCGUGAGACAGUUCGGUCCCUAUCUGCCGUGGGCGCUGGAGAAUUGAGGGGGGCUGCUCCUAGUACGAGAGGACCGGAGUGGACGCAUCACUGGUGUUCGGGUUGUCAUGCCAAUGGCACUGCCCGGUAGCUAAAUGCGGAAGAGAUAAGUGCUGAAAGCAUCUAAGCACGAAACUUGCCCCGAGAUGAGUUCUCCCUGACUCCU